RNAcentral lists this long non-coding RNA (2717 nucleotides) under Olea europaea subsp. europaea. Lineage: Eukaryota; Viridiplantae; Streptophyta; Magnoliopsida; Lamiales; Oleaceae. The record is from RNAcentral.
AUCGGAACCAUCGAAUGUUGCAGAGCAGAAUGCAAUUUUCCUAGCUAGAUUCAUCGAUCUCUAGAGGAAGAGAGCAGAGAAAUUUGCAGACAAAGAUACGGGAAGAAAGAAGAAGAGGAAGAGCUAAUCUGUGAUGACGACCAUAACCGUUGUUGCGUUGUAGUUGCAGAGCUGAGAUAGAACUCUGGAACUGGAAGAAAGAGAUGACUUUUUAUUUUUUAUUUUAGGUUUGGGCUGAAGUUGGGCCUCUUUUUUGUUCAAAAACAUUAGGCCUAAGUCCUAUAUAAAUGAAUUAUUACCCCCAAAACAACAACAGAUGGUCUAAAUAAGCGAAAUGACUAAAUCGAUUCCCUGAAAUAGUAAAGGCAAACCUUUUUCCUCACCAUUCGAAAAGUGAAGAAGAGGAGCAGGCAACAACUACUGCUACUAAUGCCACGAGGAAGAGGAAUAGACAGCGUCGCCAAUGAAGUGUUAUGCCGACUUCCGUUUUCUUUUCUGGUCUCAGAAUCUUCGAGCUCGAGCAACCUUCGACCAAAUUGGUGAGCGCAAUUCUCUUACUCUCUUUCUCCCUCUCUCUCUCUCUCUCUCUCUCCUUUUUUUUUUUGGGGUUCUUGUUCUUGUUCUAUUUUGUUGAAUAAUGAAUAUUGUCUGUAAUUUGUAAAUUAUUUAAUCACAUUCACAUGCACUGAUAAAAGGCAAUUUUUUAUUCUUAUUUACGAGUUAUGAUUUAUGUUUUGUGAGUUAUUAAGGAGAAUUGUGAUUUAUGAUAAGUAAUUUAUGUUUUAUGAGUUAUGAAUCUAUGAUUAUUGAUUUGAGAAUUUAUGUUUACGAAAUUAGGAUAAGCGAAAAAAAUUUAAUUUAGAAGAUUCAACUUGUGUGAAAAAAUACAAUUGAAAAGAUUUAAUAUUAUUAAAUCAAAUUUUAAUAAACGAGUUAUUGCGAUCGUUAAUUGUCGAUAAUAAAUGGCCAACAGUCAACAGUCAAGCUCCAUCCUAGUUGAACUUCGAUGUUGGAUUCACCCCUACUGUCAAGGAAGCAAAAAAUAUCUAAUUAUCUUCCUAUCAUUGUAUACUAGCCAAAUAAUAUAUGUAUAUAAUCAAGGACAACUCCCCCUAGCCCCCACACAGACUUGCCUUUGGUUAAAUUCUUGCUCAUCUAUGAAAAUAUUAUUUAAAGAGAUGACAAAAAGAUUAAAUUCUUGUAUGAUGAACAGUGCUACUGCAUCUGUGCUUUGCUUAGUUACAAGCUAAAAAUAUUCAAUUUAAAAUGAAGGCAUUUGCUGUGACUACAUUGAUCUCAAAAAAGACUAAUCAAAUUGUUCUUGAUGCAUGCAAUGGAAAUACCUUUUAUGGAAUCCGUUCAUAGGGACGACAAGUGCCAAUAAAUAAAGUUGGGAUAAAAGGGUAAAAAGUUGGGGAUGGCGGCUACAAGUUUUCUAUUCUAAUUGUUCAAUAAUUGUCAUCUGUGUUGUAGCUUAAAAUUAAGUUUUAACCUUUCAACAUUUAACCUAUUUACUUUUUUGUUUUAUUUACUUAAUAAUCACUUUUAACACAAUUAAAACAGCAUAAUUCAUGUUAUAACAUCUAUUUUAAUGAUUUAAUUAUGGGGUUGAUAUUACCUAUAAAAGGUGGUUACAUCUCUUUGAAAAGGAGCAUUAGAAUUACAACUUUGAAGAUAAACAAUAUAUAUAACUCUUAUUAUACUUCUAUAUUUUGGCAACCCGAUAAGAGGCUCGUUCACUUAUCUGCCUAUGGUCGUGCCCAUAGAAGGAGAGUCAUAUGGGUUUUAUCUUGCAGCUGUGUAGUGUCAAAAGAACCCGGACGAAGGGGAGGCAAUACAACUUUAGAACAGCGUUUUCGAUGUGACUCCCAAGGCUUGAUUUCUAUUCUCAAUUUAUAUUAUAUUAUUGUUGAAUUAUGUUUGUGUUGUCUAAUUGUUUAUGUUAAUUGAUUAAAAAAAUCUACAUACAAAUCACUAAUUUUCCCAACAAUCUAAGGUCGUGUUUUGUGAUUUGUGUGCGCGUUGCUUCAUUUUUAAAUUGGGUAAUAUUUCAAUAUAGAUUCUAGAGCACUAAAAUAUCUGUUUGUAUUUAGAAAAAUGAUUAGCCUGUGCUUUGCAUGGAAAUACUGGUAAUUGUUAAAUUCACAAAAGGAAUAGAAUUUAAGUAAACGUGUACCGAACGUUAAUAUUUUCAUUAACCUUUCUUCUCAUAAUACUGAUUUGAAGGAUUGGCACUUAUGUAGAAGGAAAAAUCAAUUUUGAGUGACGGAAUGUGAUUAUAUUUUAGAUUGAAAUAUGGCAUAUGAUAUGUAAUAUGUUUGGUCUAAAAUUGUUUUCAAUUGGUAAUGGAUUGAAGGAUUAAGGAGGCUACAAAAUAUGAGUUCUAUGGCUGUCUUGAUACACAUACAAAAUUAAUAUUUAGAAUUGAGGAAGAAUGAUAGUUCAACGGCGCCAGAUCUAUGGUUAUAUAAGUUGCUGACAUUUCCUAUGGCGUCACCACUACAAUUUGGGUGUUUUGAAUUGCUUGAAAACUAUUUACUCAUCCUAGUAUACCAUAUUCUAAUUCUUGCUCUAGCAAUCUUUUUUCCCGUGGUCCAAUGCAUCUGCCUUCAUCAAUAAGUAAGCUUUCUUAUUAGUGUGUAAAAUCACUUGUAUGUCUUCUCUUAGUAGCUAUUUGUGUUUGGUGGUAUGGUUUGUGCGAAUGUAUGAAAUAAGUA